This 497-nucleotide ribosomal RNA is filed under the name uncultured bacterium. RNAcentral describes it as "partial 16S ribosomal RNA". It matches the Rfam family "Bacterial small subunit ribosomal RNA", at positions 28 to 507 of the family's 1533-position model. The record is from RNAcentral.
GAUGAACGCUGGCGGCGUGCCUAAUACAUGCAAGUCGAGCGAACAGAUAAGGAGCUUGCUCCUUUGACGUUAGCGGCGGACGGGUGAGUAACACGUGGGUAACCUACCUAUAAGACUGGGAUAACUUCGGGAAACCGGAGCUAAUACCGGAUAACAUUUUGAACCGCAUGGUUCUAUAGUGAAAGAUGGUUUUGCUAUCACUUAUAGAUGGACCCGCGCCGCAUUAGCUAGUUGGUAAGGUAACGGCUUACCAAGGCAACGAUACGUAGCCGACCUGAGAGGGUGAUCGGCCACACUGGAACUGAGACACGGUCCAGACUCCUACGGGAGGCAGCAGUAGGGAAUCUUCCGCAAUGGGCGAAAGCCUGACGGAGCAACGCCGCGUGAGUGAUGAAGGGUUUCGGAUCGUAAAACUCUGUUAUUAGGGAAGAACAAAUGUGUAAGUAACUGUGCACGUCUUGACGGUACCUAAUCAGAAAGCCACGGCUAACUACGUG